Peromyscus maniculatus bairdii (prairie deer mouse) is the source of this 3778-nucleotide non-coding RNA. Lineage: Eukaryota; Metazoa; Chordata; Mammalia; Rodentia; Cricetidae. The record is from RefSeq and is a predicted model, not a curated record.
CCGCCGAGUGAUUUUGACAGUGGAAAAGCCUGCCCGGGCUUGGGAUGGCAGUGUUUUCGUUUAGAAUGGUCUGAAUAGUCAGCUCACGCGAAGCUAGGGCCGGAACAGCUCGGAUUCUAAAACUGCGCGCCCGCUUGUCUUGGCCGUAUUUCUGUGGUACAGCCAGGCUUGGGGUAAAGGAAGAGCCCAUUCUAAGUAAAGAAAGAGCUUGCGGCAUUUGGAAGGCAAAGAGGGGGCAGGCAGAAGAGCCGUCGGGGUGUACAGCGUGCUGGGGCUCCGGGGCUUUGAAAUCCUUUCCUGUGCUGUCACUUGAAUGUCGAACACGUUAUUCUCAGUGGACACUAAAAAGAAGUACACAGGCAGAUGAUUUUACAGAAGAGGAAGAAGCAUGGAAACGCAACACUGUGUCCAAUGUAAUGCAGCGGAGGAAUACAGGUCAUUUGAGUGCAGUUAACCCGAGGUUGAAGUUCAAUCAUGAUUUGACAAAAUCCAACCACAGAUGCAUGGCUGCCUUCCAACUUCAGUGCUCGUCUACAAGAAGAGUCCUAACAUGGAUGGUAGUUGAUAGUCUUCAUCAACAUCAACAAAUAUCAGGAAUGAAGCAAUGGACCUGGAUCUUCACAUGUUUGUUAGUGAUGGACAGCCUUCUUGGCCAAUUGGGUAAUAGAAAGUUGUUGGCAACGGAAGAAGCUUCCCCCAAUUUUCUGUGAUGUUCACAACGUAAUCAUCACAAGCACGAUACAUUUUCAUUUGCAUUGUUAACAUUUUUGUAAGUCUAGGCCAGAGGCUGACCAAGUUAAUCAAGUGCUGUAUUGUAAGUCUUGAGGCAUCUUUAUGUUUUGUGGUUGAGAGAUGUCUCAUUCCCCUCCCCUCCCUCCUCUACUCCCUCUUCUUCCCUCCUCUGCUCUCCCCUCUCUCUCCUUUUUCUCCUCUCAUCUACUUCCUUCUUCUUCCCUUCCUUCCCAUUUCUCUUUUCUUUUCUUUUUUCUUUCCCCCCUUUUCUCCCCUCAUCUCUUAAAAAAAAUGUGAACACGUAUGGGUCGCACAACACUGAUGUUUGCCUGGAUUUGGUGCACGUGCUGUGGUUUGCUGACCUCUGGUGUGGACACUUACCACACACUAAGUCAAGCCCCGUGCUGGCUAAUUUCUGUGGUGUGAGUGUUCUCUGAGCUCUCACUAUAGUGACAUUGUACACGGAGUCAGAAAGAACAGCACACCAUGACAGCAUUCAGUUUCAGGCAGCCAACACCCUCACAAGCAUAAGACCCAUCCAAUUACUAUGAUGAAGUGUUUAAAAUGUUUGUUCAUUGUUCUUUAAGUAAGCAUCUUAAUUUUCAGCACAUAUAGUCCAAUUUUUAAUAAUGGCUGUGCUUAGCCAUCAACUCCGAACCAUUCUGAAGAUACAGCUGCCAUCUUUUGUGAACUAAGAACAGACUCUCGUGUGUCACUGGGUAGGAUCCUGCAUCUUUAUUUUUCCCAAAGCUUCCUAAGGGAUUUCUGGGUACACCUCAGUUAUCAGUGCAUCUGGCCCUGUGCAUGGUUGCCUGGGUUUCAAAACCUGUGGGUUCCAUUAUCAGAAGUCUCUGAUGGAGCCCUUCUAGUCUCUCUCUGCUUAUCCUACUCACCGGCUUCUAACGGUGCAUCGCCGGAGUUAUCAUUGCUCUGCAAGCCUGGCACAGCCUCCCUGGUCCUCUGCUCUCAUUAACCACCCUCGCUGCUUUGAUGGCUGAACAGUUUGCCAGCUUUAAUCUUAAAUAUUUAUUUGUAACUCGUGGGUAGCAUUCCCCACCUUUCCUCUCUCUGGGAACUAGCGCCUGGCAUAUAGCCAGUACACUCUAGAUAUGAGAAGAAUGAAUCUUCCAGGAGUACCCGGGUUCCAGGGGUCAGUGGUCCGUGGGAAGAGACAGUCAGAUCAUGGAGGCUUUGUGGGCAUCUUUUACCUGUUCAAGCUCCCCACUGCCAGCGGACGUGGGAAGUGUGGUCUAUGAGGGACUGGCGAUCAGUGGGAGGAAAACAACCGUCUUUCUGAUUUGACCAUCUCUUCCAGGGGUUAAGUGGUUUUCCUGUGGCUCUCCUGGAAGCUCUGGCUCCUGGGCUCGGUUAACCUCCUCUCUCCUCUUUGUCCCUGUAAUACUGAGUACCCUGCUUCCUGCUGGUGCUUAUCUCCGGAUUGUCUUUCCCUCCCCUUCACCCUUUCACCUCUCUCUGCAGCAACUCUCCUGCAUUAAGUUCCCUCUCUCCAGCUCUUUUGUUCCUAGGACCCUGUCAGAUGAAGCCUGACAUGCUGUGAUGAGGGGCCUGGUCUCGCGUCCUCUGUGGGCUCUUCCACUCAAAGCACCGUGGCAGGAGCAUUCCAUGAUGAAAUGGAGCUCUCCUAGUUGCUUCCUAGAAGAUUCAGUUAGCAGACAUACUGGCAGUUUGGGGGAACCCUAGGGAAUUUGGAGAGAGCCUUGAAGGAUCUGAGAACUUUCCGUCACUCCACGCCACAUGUUACGUAUGUGUGUAAUCAGUUUUGUUCUGGGAUGGGAGCCCAUAGCUUUCUUCAAGAUUCUCCAAGGGAAUCCAAAACAUGUUAAGGUCUAUUGGGCUAGUUUUGUAGGGAGACCAGUCAGGAGUCCAGUGGGUCGAUGUUCAGCGUGGGUCCUAGCGGGAAAUGGAACUGACCUGAGAGGAUGCAGAUGGAGACUUUAGAGAGGGGACCACCUUCAGAAGAUGGGCAGAGCGAUGUGACGAACAGAAGACGGCAGCCUCUCUAGGUUAGCAACUAUGUAGAAUUAUUAGACCCUGUAGUGUCACAGGAAGAUCCUGGGUGACUGGGGCUUGCGAUGGCUACAGCCACUCAAUACAAGCAGAGUUUUGGGGGGACUCAGAGAGGGACAAAGGAAGGGCCUGGUUGACCGCUAUCGUCUUGUCCUGGCAGCCAGUCUGAGUGAUGUGGUGAGCAGGGCAGAGAGUGGUAGAGAAUGUGGGUAAACCGACGGCAUGGGACAGAGCAGCGUGGGUGGAGAGUCACCAGGGCAGAGAGUGGUAGAGAAUGUGGGUAAACUGACGGCAUGGGACAGAGCAGCGUGGGUGGAGAGUCACCAGGGCAGAGAGUGGUAGAGAAUGUGGGUAAGCUGACAGCACAGGACAGAGCAGCGUGGGUGGAGAGUCACCAGCACACACUGAACCCACACUGAACACACUGCCUCAACCGCCCCAGAGGGAAGUGGCCCAUCACGUUUGGUGGCUCCGGGCAACGUCACUCCCCAUCUGAUUUUGCUUUUUUUGAUCAGAUCUUUUCCCACUAACUCGGCCCUGCCUCCAAAAGCCAGAUCAAGAGACGCAAAACACAGAUUGCUCUGUUGUUGUUAACUUCACUUUUCCAUUGUGACUUAGAAGCUCUUUGGCCUCGGAAGUCACAAAAAUGUGCCUUGGGCUUCAUCCAUAAAGGACACGAGCUGGAUUUGAUGUUCUCUGUGGUACCUUCUGGCUUUAACAGGUUUUGAUGUUCGGAGAGGGUCUUUGGCUCCUUCCCGCUUAAAGGCCUCCAGUGUUCUGACUCCUUCUAAGGAGGUGGGCACCCUCCCUUGUCCAUUGUCAUUGCAGUGGUAUGGAGGCUGCAGGAGGCCAAUGGUGACUCUGCCCCGGUCCCUGCAAAGAGCAGCCUGUGCAUUAUCAGCAUUUAUCGACUCUGGUCAUGCUGUUCAUCGUUGUCGGCAUUUGUGCAGAAAUGCUUCCCUCUAUGGAGGUGUCUAAGUGCUAUGGAGGCCACAGAGGUGUUGAGUUUGCCCAUCUA